GACGCCCGGUUUCAUUUGUUGUUUUGUGUGUUGCUUUGCUACGGCGCAAGGUGUUCGGACGAAUUAGCUGUCAAUCUCCGACCAAAAUAUAUUUAGGGUAGGUUGAUUAAGGGAUCAGUACUGUAGCAGUUCCCAGUGAGAUUAAUUCUGGGUCUGCUAGAGGUUAAUGUGAUAUUGCAAGAGUCCUUGGACUUUAUGCCAUUUUCAGGUGCAUUUACAUUAGCUUGGUAAAGCUAACUAGCUAGCUACUGUACAGUAACAUCACAAGCAACCUCUUGUUUUUUUUAGCUGUUUUUUUUUCUACGCUCACGAAAUUGAAGAUGUCCGACUCCGACAUAAUGUCUUCAACCGAAGACAGAGCCAAGGAGAUUCUGAAGGGGUUUAAGCUAAACUGGAUGAACCUGCGUGAUGCUGAGACUGGGAAGGUGCUGUGGCAGGGAACGGAGGACCUGUCUCUUCCUGGGGUCGAACAUGAAGCUCGAGUCCCCAAGAAAAUUCUCAAGUGCAAAGCUGUGUCCAGAGAGCUAAAUUUCUCUUCAUCAGAAAAACUGGAAAAGUUCCGCCUUGAGCAGAAGGUUUUCUUCAAAGGCCAGUGCUUAGAAGAAUGGUUCUUUGAGUUUGGCUUUGUGAUUCCCAACUCCACAAACACAUGGCAGUCUUUGAUAGAGGCGGCUCCAGAGUCGCAGAUGAUGCCCGCAAAUGUUUUAACUGGAAAUGUUGUUAUAGAGACCAAGUUCUUUGAUGACGAUCUUCACGUCAGCACCUCGCGAGUACGACUUUUCUAUGUCUGAAGAAGAACGAACAACUUACUUUUUUAUUUUCUAUUAAUCCUUGAAGUGAGGGUGGGGGAAAAAAACAGGACCAUGCAUACACAACUGAUUGUUGUUAUCCAAUGGUCACUGGAAGCCGAGUUCGACGGAGUGCAUUUCUCUUUACAGUGACGGGUGACGGCAGCACUAAAGGGAACAGUGCAGGAAGAAACCAACAUCCAACCAAGUCAUCAAGAUCACACUGGCUUCUUGGCAGACAAGACUUUUUAAAUGUCACCCUGCGAUGUACACUGCUCCAUUGUCACCUUGUGUUUUCGAUGUUUGCUUCCAGUUGAUGUUGUGGUUGCUGAUAUUGUCAUUGUUUGGAUUUUUUUUAGCUGUUACUAAUCUUGUAAAAUAGACUGUGUUUAUUACUACACGAAUUACGGAUUAAAAUAUGUUCACUACA
Molecule: non-coding RNA, 1218 nt
Organism: Salmo salar (Atlantic salmon)
Lineage: Eukaryota; Metazoa; Chordata; Actinopteri; Salmoniformes; Salmonidae
Source: RefSeq, a predicted model, not a curated record